Molecule: long non-coding RNA, 633 nt
Organism: Onychostoma macrolepis
Lineage: Eukaryota; Metazoa; Chordata; Actinopteri; Cypriniformes; Cyprinidae
Exons: 3
Source: RefSeq, a predicted model, not a curated record
UGUAUCAAAGAAGAACGAAGGUCUUACGGAUGUGGAAUGACACGAUAAGUAUGACAGCAUUUUCAUUUUUAGUUGAAGUUAUCAAGGAGAAAAUACAAAAGUGACCAUUUAGUUCAGUGGAAUCGACAAUAAACACUUUUUGAUUUUGGUUUAUUUGAGCAGGAGUGGAAUUUUAAGCUUGAAGUUGCUAUGAGUUCUAGAUUGGCAAAUCGUUCUCUGCAUAGAUGGGCACUGAUCCGACAAAUUCAAUAAACCUACCUGAGGCUGGAGGAAGCUCGAUGCUUGUCAACACACGCUGCUAAAGACCCCCUCUGAUGGCCGACCACAUGCAGCUCUUUAAAUUGGAUCACUGCGACUGCAGAUGUACAUGCAAGUUUCAUAUUACAGCAUUCACACUGGGAGCAGGCCAUGUGGAGUCACGCCCUUUUCACCAAAAUGAAAACACUUUACACAUGAAUCCAAUAUCAGCAACAUCAAGACAAGCUGACGUCUUCCCAUCGCUGGGCUGGCUGAGGGAGGAGGAAACAUACUGGGGCAUUUGACAUUUCCCUGAGCGCUUCAUACCAGCUCACCAAGGCGUCUGUAAAGAGUCAGGAGUAAAUCACAGCUGGGAUAGGAUGUAUUGCCAAAUGG